This is a long non-coding RNA of Fukomys damarensis (Damara mole-rat), 1227 nucleotides long. RefSeq lists it as uncharacterized. NCBI's taxonomy places the organism in Eukaryota, Metazoa, Chordata, Mammalia, Rodentia, Bathyergidae. The record is from RefSeq and is a predicted model, not a curated record. The transcript is spliced from 3 exons.
UAAGAUGGUUCAUAGAUGGCAAGCAGCGUGAGCAGGGGCUUCUUAAUGUAAUUUUUCCUCUGGGAAUUUUCCUAACAAGAUGGUUUGAUUUCCUCCCGGAAUUAAGCUGGGGGUGGCUGCUAUUUUUCUAGUAAGACUUGCUACUCUAACUGCAUCCGGGCCCUGAAUCACAACAGUCUGCUUUUGGAACAGUGAGCGGCACACUGCAACCUCAAGCUCUGGUAAUGGCGAGAUGAUAACUGAGACUUUGGGGUGGGUGGGUGCAGUGGGGGCAUGCUCAGGUCUUCCUAGACUAGGAGAGUGGUCUCCGGGGAACACUGCUGCUUCUUCCUUGCUUUGAUUUCCUUUGGUGAGAAGCGAGUCUUUUCUUGGUGGACUGUUGCAUCUGUUCUUCGCCAAAUGGGCCUGCUGGUGUGUGAUGGAAGGGACGGGAACUUCCUUUCCUUCUGGUCGUUCCCGCCGCCGUGCCCGAGUGAUUCCGUUUCCCGUGUCCUGGAUGUGCCCUCCCUUCUUAUGUAAGGAGGCAGGGUACAUCUGGUGCCAGAUUUCAUUCAGCCCUGUAACAAUCCCCCUUUAUGACGUCACUGCUCAUCGCCAUGGAAACACCCCCAGUCACAGAGACUGGAUUGUGGAUCAUAGCAUCAGGCAGCCGCAGGAGGAGAGCACAGGAGAGGAUUGAAACUGCCUGGGUGGCCAACAAACUAGCAAGCAGUGGCAGAAAUACAAGAUUUUUCUGUUAGGACCCUUGAAUGAAGAGCCCAACCGCAGGUCUGCAGUGUUCUUGUCUGGGAUCUCAGAAAAAACAAGAGACUCAUUCAGUGUGGAAGACCAGGAAGAAAGAUGACAUUAAAAUGCCGGUUCUAUCACUGCAGAGAAGACCUUGAGGACAAGAGCAAGAACCUGGGGUUGUCAGUGCAUCCCUUUCACACCAAGUCUGCUUCUCGCCACUGGCAGAAAUACCUCUGAGGUCAGGCGUCCCUGCCUCAGACCCUUCUGGAACUUUCUUCAGGUGCUUUGCCUGGAUGGCCUUCAGACCAGGCUCUGCCGCGUCGUCCUCUCCUGCAGUCUUUGCCGAGGGCUGUCAAACACAACGCUGUAUUUCUCCCUCUUCCUCUUGGCGAAGGGUUCCCGAAAGCCGUCUGUUCACCUUCUUUUAAUUGCUAAUAAUUAUUCAAUUUUAUAUAGCCCAGAGUAAUAAAUAUUCAUGAAUAACAUAGUGCAUCAAGA